RNAcentral lists this ribosomal RNA (448 nucleotides) under uncultured bacterium. RNAcentral describes it as "bacterial SSU rRNA". It matches the Rfam family "Bacterial small subunit ribosomal RNA", at positions 330 to 792 of the family's 1533-position model. The record is from RNAcentral.
UCCAGACUCCUACGGGAGGCAGCAGUGGGGGAUAUUGGACAAUGGGGGAAACCCUGAUCCAGCGACGCCGCGUGAGUGAAGAAGUAUUUCGGUAUGUAAAGCUCUGUCAGCAGGGAGGAAAGAAAUGACGGUACCUGACCAAGAAGCCCCGGCUAACUACGUGCCAGCAGCCGCGGUAAUACGUAGGAGGCAAGCGUUAUCCGGAAUGACUGGGCGUAAAGGGUGCGUAGGUGGUUUGACAAGUUAGUAGCGCAACUCCGGAGCUUAACUUCGGAACUACUACUAAAACUGUUGGACUUGAGUGCAGGAGGGGCAAUCGGAAUUCCUAGUGUAGCGGUGGAAUGCGUAGAUAUUAGGAGGAACACCAGUGGCGAAGGCGGAUUGCUAGACUGUAACUGACACUGAGGCACGAAAGCGUGGGGAGCAAACAGGAUUAGAUACCCGAGUA